GAAUGCCCUUUCUAUUGAUCCAGGAAGAAAAUGGAAAGGGCCUUGGAGAUGGUUCGAUGAAUCCAUGUUGGACUGCUGUGAGCCAUUGGAGAAGGUUAAAGCUAAAGGGAUCUCCUUUGGGAAAGUGGUAUGUUUGGCUCACUGUGCAGGAGCGAAGGUGGAAGCUUUUCGCUCUAAUCUUAGCACCAUUGAUGACUUCCGUAAACAUGUCAUGGCCUGCACAACUAGUGAUGAUUGUCAUCUGAUCUCAUCUUAUCAUCGAGGACUUUUUAAACAGACAGGUUCAGGCCA
This 291-nucleotide unclassified non-coding RNA is filed under the name Hevea brasiliensis (rubber tree). The record is from RNAcentral. Lineage: Eukaryota; Viridiplantae; Streptophyta; Magnoliopsida; Malpighiales; Euphorbiaceae.